GUGUCAGCAGCCGCGGUAAUACGUAGGAGGCUAGCGUUAUCCGGAUUUAUUGGGCGUAAAGCGCGUGUAGGUGGCUCUUCAAGUCGGAUGUAAAAUCUCCUGGCUUAACUAGGAGGGACCAUUCGAAACUGCUGGGCUAGAGUGCAGUAGAGGGAGGUGGAAUUCCCGGUGUAGUGGUGAAAUGCGUAGAUAUCGGGAGGAACACCAGUGGCGAAGGCGGCCUCCUGGGCUGUUACUGACGCUGAGACGCGAAAGCGUGGGGAGCAAACAGGAUUAGAUACCCUGGUAGUCCACGCUGUAAACUUUGGACACUAGGUAUGGGGAGUAUCGACCCUCUCCGUGCCGAAGCUAACGCAUUAAGUGUCCCGCCUGGGGACUACGGUCGCAAGACUAAAACUUAAAUGAAUUGACGGGG
Molecule: ribosomal RNA, 415 nt
Filed under: uncultured prokaryote
Description: bacterial SSU rRNA
Rfam family: Bacterial small subunit ribosomal RNA
Source: RNAcentral